ACGGCAGCACGGGAGCAAUCCUGGUGGCGAGUGGCGAACGGGUGAGUAAUAUAUCGGAACGUGCCCAUUAGUGGGGGAUAGCCCGGCGAAAGCCGGAUUAAUACCGCAUACGACCUACGGGUGAAAGCGGGGGAUCGCAAGACCUCGCGCUAUUGGAGCGGCCGAUAUCAGAUUAGCUAGUUGGUGGGGUAAAGGCCUACCAAGGCUACGAUCUGUAGCUGGUCUGAGAGGACGACCAGCCACACUGGGACUGAGACACGGCCCAGACUCCUACGGGAGGCAGCAGUGGGGAAUUUUGGACAAUGGGCGCAAGCCUGAUCCAGCCAUGCCGCGUGUGGGAAGAAGGCCUUCGGGUUGUAAACCACUUUUGUCAGGGAAGAAACGGCUCCUGCUAAUACCGGGAGCUAAUGACGGUACCUGAAGAAUAAGCACCGGCUAACUACGUGCCAGCAGCCGCGGUAAUACGUAGGGUGCAAGCGUUAAUCGGAAUUACUGGGCGUAAAGCGUG
RNAcentral lists this ribosomal RNA (508 nucleotides) under uncultured Methylibium sp. Its description in RNAcentral is "bacterial SSU rRNA". It matches the Rfam family "Bacterial small subunit ribosomal RNA", at positions 66 to 569 of the family's 1533-position model. The record is from RNAcentral. Lineage: Bacteria; Pseudomonadati; Pseudomonadota; Betaproteobacteria; Burkholderiales; Sphaerotilaceae.